Molecule: non-coding RNA, 2133 nt
Organism: Vigna umbellata (rice bean)
Lineage: Eukaryota; Viridiplantae; Streptophyta; Magnoliopsida; Fabales; Fabaceae
Source: RefSeq, a predicted model, not a curated record
CAGUAGUAAAAGAGAAGAAUCGGCACCUCCCACAAGGUUAGUCUUCAUUUCAACAACUUGAGAAUUAUAUAGGUGCCAUAUAUGCUAGCAGCUUUGACGUUUUAGGGCUCACCAGAUUAGGGUUUUCUGAGUCAAAGAUUAGGGUUUUCUGAUUCAGGUUGACUGACGAAGCUUUUCUUCUUCGUUAAUCUCCUACAAUUCACUCUGCUUUGUCUCUGCGAUUUAGUAGUUGUCGCUCGCGUUUCGCUCUCGCUCGCUUUUCCCACUCGCUCGCGUUCGCAGUCGGCCGCCAUCUCGCCGGCGAUGGUCGCAUUUUCGUGUAAUCUGUUUCGCACUCAUCUGCGUAUCAACAGGUGCCUAGAAUGUGUUACUGUUUGUCUUUAUGAACAAGUUAGAAUGAUUUUCGUGAAGAAAGAAAGUAUGGUAUGUAUGAUAAAGUUGUGGAGUAUAUAUAAAUGAUAAUGUAGUGAGUGAUGUCUGAGGAUAAUACUUGCUUUUCCAGAGUUGCCAUUAGUUCGUUAAACCCUUCACUGGUGACUAUUGGUUCAAGAAUUUGUGGUCAUCUAUGUUCGGACAUUAUAGAUGAUACCCUCCACAGUCCAUUUAAGAAGCCAAAAAGCUGCGUCUACUAAAUAAAAUAUGAAAUUACUAUUGCUAUUAUCUACUGAAUAAAGAGAAUAUCUACUGAAUAAAGAGAAUGUGAAGAAUUUAAAAUUAUUAUUACUAUUAAAAUAGUUCAUUUCCUUUUUUAAUUCAUUGUGAAUUCUUAUUUAUAAAGAUAAAGGUUAAUUUCCUUUUUUAAUUCACUGUGAAUUCUUAUUUAUAAAGGUAAAGGUUAGAGGGGAUGUGAGGUAUUAGAAUUGAGGAAUAAUGUUUGAUAUUUUAUUUUAACUCAUACACAAACUAAAUGAGGUUUUCUCCUUUUAAAAAUGAAUAUUUCGAUACGAGAAAUUGUGCUUCUUGGUGGUAUCGGCCGCGGCUCGCGAUGGUCGGGCUCCCUCAUGCGGCGAAGACGCGACGGAAGAGGAGAGAUUUCGCCUCGACUGGCGACAGCUCCGGCGGCUCGCGGCUUCCGGUCGGGUGGAGGUUUGGACGUGCAGCUGGCGGCGACCGGUGAUGCUAGUGGGAAUCCUGGCCGGAUCGAGGCGCGGCGGAGGUGAAACCCCUCCCUGGGUGGCCGGAUUGAGGCUCGACAAUGACGCGAUGGUGGCUGGUCCGGAGAGGCAGUGACGCCGUGGCAGGUGGUGGCUCCGACGGAGUGGUGUCGCCGGCGAUGCCGAUCUGGCGGAGGCGGCAGCGUGCGUGCAGAGGUGAAGCUAUUCAUCGGAGUUCUAGGCUGGGAGAAGAAAGACUUGUUUCUCGUGUUUGCAGAUGGAAGAAUGAAGAAGGUGUGAGUAGACCCCUAAUGGGUUUCUGAAUAAAGACUCUUUUGGACCUAGCUUUGGGCUGCAUCCUCUCUUCCUGCCACAUGCACAAUUCCAUCCGCACCCUACUCAGUUUGGGCUUAAGCCCAUCCGUUUCUAAAAAAAAAGGGGAAGAAAAUAAGAAUUGGGCCUGACAAGUAAAUACUCAAUGGCACUCCCAAAUUUCAUUCUUACACCCUGGCAGAUCCAAAGUUGGAGAAGAGGGUUUUGGCCCAAACAAAAGAGUCUCAUUUUUUUCUCCGCACCCCUGGGUUCCAGUGGUAGAAGAGGAGAAUCGGUACCUCCGACAAGGUUAGUGUUCAUUUCAACUACUUGAGAAUUAUAUAGAUCUAUUAUGCCAUAUAUGCUAGCAGCUUUGUCGUUUUUAGGGCUCACCAGAUUAGGGUUUUCUUAUUGACGAAGCUCUUCUUCUUCGUUAGUCUCCUACGAUUCACUCAGCACUGUGCUUUGUCUAUGCGAUUUAGUAGUCGUCUCCUCGCAUUUCGCCCUCGCUCGCUUUUCCCCCUCGCUCGCAGUCGCCGUCAGCGGUGGUCGCGUCGUGCCUCCUUCGGUGGUCGCACUGUUUCUCCUCUGUUCGUGUGAUCUGUUUCGCACUCAUCUGCGUGUGCCUCUGUUUCACUCAUCUGUUCACAUCCCUUUGUUCGUGUCCUUCGUGUGGUUUAAUGUAAUGAAAUAUUUUUUUCUGAAAAGUAGUAAGCCUUUGUUCUUA